RNAcentral lists this transfer RNA (77 nucleotides) under Vampirovibrio sp. Its description in RNAcentral is "tRNA-Asp". It matches the Rfam family "tRNA". From Rfam's summary of the family: Transfer RNA (tRNA) molecules are approximately 80 nucleotides in length. Lineage: Bacteria; Bacillati; Candidatus Melainabacteria; Vampirovibriophyceae; Vampirovibrionales; Vampirovibrionaceae. The record is from RNAcentral.
GCGGCGUUAGUUCAGUUGGUUAGAACGCAUGCCUGUCACGCAUGAGGUCAGGGGUUCGAGUCCCCUACGCCGCGCCA